CAGAUGUUCCCUCCUUCCGGAAAUACUUGUCAUAAAGAUGAAUAUAUCUAGACUUAUUUUAGUUAUAGAUACAUCCAUUAUAUCCAAUUCUAGGACAAGUAUUUUCGGACCGAGGGAGUACCUU
Hordeum vulgare subsp. vulgare (domesticated barley) is the source of this 124-nucleotide non-coding RNA. The record is from Rfam. Lineage: Eukaryota; Viridiplantae; Streptophyta; Magnoliopsida; Poales; Poaceae.